Ricinus communis (castor bean) is the source of this 1672-nucleotide long non-coding RNA. RefSeq lists it as uncharacterized. The record is from RefSeq and is a predicted model, not a curated record. NCBI's taxonomy places the organism in Eukaryota, Viridiplantae, Streptophyta, Magnoliopsida, Malpighiales, Euphorbiaceae. The transcript has 2 exons.
GUCAUAUAUAAUUGAUGCAAUUUAAUUUUAAUUUCCUAAUCAGGAGUAAUUUCAGAAAAUAAAAAUUCGAUUUUGAAUAUGGAUCAUAUCAUUUAAUUUUGACAAGAAAUUUUUAUUAAAAUUUUUUGUGAAGAAAUAGAUUAUUGAUAAGAUUGAAUAUUAAGUAUUAAUUAGUUCGAUUGCUAAAAUUAUACAGAUGCAAUUGUUUUAUAUUGUCAUACGUUGGCAAUUAAGUAUUUCACAUAUUCUUUUAAUUAAUUUUAUUGUUGGCUUGAAGACAACCUCAGGAAUUUCAUCAAUCCAAAUAUGUUCUAAACUUGACUCACGCACAUGAAUGUCUAUUACUUGAUCACACCAAUAUUAACUAAUUAUAAGCUGAAUAUUUACCAUUUAGGCUUUGUAUUUCACAUAUGCACUGGAUGUUUUUCUUUUCAUUUUUCAAUUCUUUUUUUCAAUUUUUAUGAGAGGGACUGAUUUGUUGAUAGCGUCAAAGAACCAUUCCAUCCAAAAAUAAAAUUGUCCAGUGAAAUUUGAUGUAUAAUUUUUUAUAUCUCUAAUGGACGUAAUGUAAUAUCAAGAGGUUUUAAUUUAUUUUUUAAAAUUUCAAUAAUAAUUUUAUAUCUCUAACAGAUAAAAUUUCAAGAUUUAAAAAAUAAUUUUAUAUCUUUAAUAGAGAGAAUGAGACUUUAGGUCAUUUUUCUAGAUUUUAAAAUAAUUGUAUAAGAGACAAAAUGUAACAUAAAGAGGCAUUGUUCACUUUUCAAUAGAGGGGAUUAUAAUUGUUAAUAUUGCCACAGUGGCAGAAUAGGAAAUGGGAUGAGAAUGUGUCCUUACCAGGAUGAGGACUGGUUUCAAACGACCUAAGAGGAGGGUAAAUUCAAAUAUGGAGGGUGGCUUAGGAGCUCGUUGAAUCCCGGAAUAGGUAAGGAAUUGAGGUAUGCAAGGCAGGAAGGGUUGGCUCCACAUUCUCUUAUAGAGCUCUAUUUGAAAUGGAGAUCCCAGGUGGUAUUUUUGUCUGAAACGAAGCAACAAAGAAGAUUUCUGGAUAAAGUCAAGCGAAGGCUAGGCUUUGGAGAUGGUUGGUACGUGGAACCUCAUGGUAUUAGCGGGGGUCUUGCUCUCUGGUGGCACAACAGUGUGUCUGUAAAGGUGCUGCUGAUACACCCCAGAUGCAGUGGACCCCCCCUAAUGUUGGAUUCAUUAAGCUGAAAACCGACGCGGCCUUUGAUGCUAAGAGGUGCAUAGCAAGGAUAGCCAUAGUUGCUCAAGAUCAUGUGGAAAUCUCGUGGAUGGAUACUGUAAAAUUGUGGAGGCAGCAUCUCCUUUGGUUGCAGAAGCUUUGGCGCUUCUUGAAGCAGCCCUUUUUGCGCAGUCUAGGAAAUUCUCGAAAUAUAUUUUUGAAACUGAUAGCUUAGUUAUUGCUAACUCCUUUAUAGAGGGAGCCAUCGUUUGUUAGGAGAUUGAUGCUAUUAUCUCCUCUAUCUUGGAUUUGUUUAAGCUGCUUUCGUCGCAUGCAAUUACGCAUACUAAUAUACACUGUAACCAGGUGGCGGAUUGGGUGGCUUCGGAAACUCUUAUAGGGUCCCUGUCGAGUUGUUGGAUCGCCACCUGUUCUGAUCCUCUUUUGGCUCUCCUUUGAACUUGGUUAAUGAAUUCCUUGUUUGUUCAAAAA